RNAcentral lists this transfer RNA (63 nucleotides) under Cyamus boopis. RNAcentral describes it as "tRNA-Trp". Lineage: Eukaryota; Metazoa; Arthropoda; Malacostraca; Amphipoda; Cyamidae. The record is from RNAcentral.
UAAAUUUUAAGUUAAAAAAACUGUGAGCCUUCAAAGCUUAAAAUGACUUUAGUUCAAAUUUAG